GGAGAGGUGGCCGAGUUGGUUGAUGGUGCACGCCUCGAAAGCGUGUUAUCCUUUACGGGAUACGAGAGUUCGAAUCUCUCCCUCUCCGCCA
RNAcentral lists this transfer RNA (91 nucleotides) under Candidatus Omnitrophota bacterium. Its description in RNAcentral is "tRNA-Ser". It matches the Rfam family "tRNA". Rfam says of the family: Transfer RNA (tRNA) molecules are approximately 80 nucleotides in length. Their secondary structure includes four short double-helical elements and three loops (D, anti-codon, and T loops). The record is from RNAcentral. Lineage: Bacteria; Pseudomonadati; Candidatus Omnitrophota.